RNAcentral lists this ribosomal RNA (1326 nucleotides) under Triticum aestivum (bread wheat). RNAcentral describes it as "partial small subunit ribosomal RNA". The record is from RNAcentral. Lineage: Eukaryota; Viridiplantae; Streptophyta; Magnoliopsida; Poales; Poaceae.
AUGGAGGCGCAGCCGCGGGAGAUCUUCCUCGGCGCCGGCGGCCACUGCUUCCUCGUCCUCGUCCUCGUCGCUCACAAUCUUGGUAGCUCAUCUUGGGAGAGACCCAUCAUGCAAAUAAUGGCCAACAGGACAUGUUCUGCUUCUGCCUCCUCACUCUUUGCUUCAUCUCGGCCACAAGGAUGGGCAGAGCUCCCGGACGACCUGCUCCGACCCAUUGUCGCUCUACUACGCUCGUUCCGCGACCUCCUCGCCUUCGGUACCACUUGUCGUCAUUGGUGUGAUCUCUUCUCAGCACGCAGGUCCUCUCUCCAGCCUCUGCUCCUCCACCCCAAUCUCCGUACCGACGGUGGACAGACUCUCUCGCAUAACUGUUGGACCUUAUUCCACAAAGGCGCAUGGAGAUUGGCUGACCCUGCUGCCACCUCAUCCUCUCGCAGUUUUCUUUCCUUGAGUGACCUCAGAAGCAUGACCUUUCUGCGCUACUCCCAUGGUCAGCUCAUCUUCUACGACAACAAUGGGUUCCAUAUUGUUAAUCCGUUCAGUGGCACUAAGGUUGGUCCUCCUUCCCUCCAGUCAGUUCACUUCACUUGCAUCAGCUAUGUCACCUUAACUGCCCCUGUUGCAUCCACUGAUUCGCAUCUCCUUGUCGGUGCUGGAGCCUAUCUGUUCCUGUGGCGCAUCGGGAGCGACUCUUGGACAAAACACAGUCCUAAAGUUGUUCGUUUUUCCAUUGAACAAAAUGUGGCCUUCAAGGGCAAGACAUAUGCCCUAGGGUCUUUCGGGUGGUUCUACAUCAUUCACUUGUCACCCAGUCUCAUUGUUGAGAAGUUUAAAGUUGUGUUCGAGGAAGAUAAAACCGAAGAUCUCUAUUCGGCAAAUGAAAAAGCAUGGCUACUGGUGUGUGGUGACACGCUUCUCUUGAUCAAACUUGUGGAGGCGGGAAGACGGAUGCGCUCGGAGGCCUUCCAGUUCAUGCCCUUCAAGCUUGAGUCAUUGGACACCAUGACCAAGAAGGCAAGGUGGGUGAAAGUGAACAAGUUAGAUAACUGGGCCAUCUUUAUCAGCAUUGACGAGCGGUGCAAGGCGUUGCCGUGCAUGAACCCAGAGGGAUGGGGAGGAAGGAGCAACCACAUAUACUUCCCAAGUUAUCAGUCUGAAAAACCUUGGGCUGCAGUCCAACUAUGGGAAAAAUGUUAUUACCGUUCGACACAGCUCUUCAACACUGGAAGACGGUACCUGAAAUUGGAGUCAACCUGGGUCUUCCCCGCGCGUUUCCUUGUUACGUCCUGCGAUGAUCUUACGGCCGUGAGUGCGGUUGAUGAUUAG